Molecule: long non-coding RNA, 294 nt
Organism: Rhipicephalus microplus (southern cattle tick)
Lineage: Eukaryota; Metazoa; Arthropoda; Arachnida; Ixodida; Ixodidae
Source: RefSeq, a predicted model, not a curated record
UCAACGCUGCUCGUAGCUGGGAAAUCUGCUCAGAGUGGCCUUGUCUUUUGUGUAAUCUCUUUAUUUUGCGUUUAGUGUGGAUAACAUCUCUAGUGAUCUAGGGGUUAGUCUUCCUUGUUUUUUUCAAUCGAAUGGGAACAAACCUUUCUAUACAGCUGUUAAUUAUUGAUUUCAAUUUCUGCCACAAACAAUCAACUGACUCGCUAUCAGAGACUUGCUUGAAAUCAUCAAAAGCAGUUUCCAAAAAGUCUAAUAUUGACGUGUCAUCUGCCCGGCCGUAAUGGCCACUCUUCG